CAUAUAAUCAUUAAUGUCAACUAUGUGGAACUGCUAUAAUAUGGUACUGAAAUUGAUUACAUUUUGCUCUUUGAAGGGAUUGGAAAUAAGCAAAGAAGCAUGGAAUGGAAUAACAGAUACAUCUCUCAUUGAUAACGUCUAAAGUAACUUCAAAGGCCUGAUAAGUGAUGAUCGCUUGGCCAGUUGGGAUGAUCUUCGGUGCUAUUGCUGGAAUAGGACAACCAACUUCACUGGAUAAUUAUACUUGAUUGACUGGCAUAAGCAAAUAAUAUGAAGUACCAAGCUACUUCAAAGAAUACUUGCAUGUUGGAGGCAGUGAAGCUGUAAUAUCUACUCAGACAGUUCUCGCAUCCUAAUCAUCUCUAGCAUGUGAGUGAUUUUAUCUAUACAUUAUCCACUUAAUAUAUACAUGAAUUCAAAUUUCCAGUUGCAGGAUGUUGAUAUAUGAAACACUGUCAAUGGCAGAUCCUUGAACUUAUCAACAACAAAAAAAAUGGUAGAUCCUUCAACUUAUACCAAUAUGAUGAACAAAA
Camellia sinensis is the source of this 533-nucleotide non-coding RNA. The record is from RefSeq and is a predicted model, not a curated record. Lineage: Eukaryota; Viridiplantae; Streptophyta; Magnoliopsida; Ericales; Theaceae.